GAUGAACGCUGGCGGCGUGCUUAACACAUGCAAGUCGAACGGGCCUGUCUUCUUUUUUGGGGGUGGGUUGAGUGGCGAACGGGUGAGUAUCACGUGAGUAACCUGCCCUUCGGUCCUGGAUAACCGCUUGAAAGGGCGGCUAAUACGGGGUGGUCCGGUUGGUCCGCAUGGGCUGGUCGGGAUAGAUUCACUGUUUUUGGUGUUUCGGCGGGGGAUGGGCUCGCGGCCUAUCAGCUUGUUGGUGGGGUGAUGGCCUACCAAGGCGGUGACGGGUAGCCGGCCUGAGAGGGUGGGCGGCCACACUGGGACUGCGAUACGGCCCAGACUCCUGCGGGAGGCAGCAGUGGGGGGUAUUGCACAAUGGGCGGAAGCCUGAUGCAGCGACGUCGCGUGAGGGAUGGAGGCCUUCGGGUUGUGAACCUCUGUUUCCGGUGGUGAAGGCCCUGUCCGUGUGGUGGGGUUGACGGUAGCCGGGGAUGAAGCGCCGGCUAACUACGUG
RNAcentral lists this ribosomal RNA (499 nucleotides) under uncultured bacterium. RNAcentral describes it as "partial 16S ribosomal RNA". It matches the Rfam family "Bacterial small subunit ribosomal RNA", at positions 28 to 507 of the family's 1533-position model. The record is from RNAcentral.